CUAAUUCAAACACAGUUACGGAUAGCCCAAGGAGAUUUGGGGGAGAAAAACCCUAACCCGGCGAUUACUCAAGAACCACCUCAUCGCAGCGAGACUAACUAAGAUUCGGCACCAUCUAAGAGGUAUGAACUCAUUUCCUUCCGUAUUAACAUAUAUGUGUGUGUUUUGCUUGUUUGAUUGAUGUGUGUUGCACUUUAAUUUGUUGAAUCGCAUGUAUACUGAGUCGUAUGUAUAUGUUUAGUUUAAUUUAUGUGUUAUUGUAAUGUCACAGUAUGGAUUCGUUGGCUAGUUUGUUUGUGCACUACCAUGGGGAUCUGUUGUAUGAACCCUAGAUUCAAUACAAAGGUGGAGUAGUAGAUGUAAUUCCUGGGUUUGAUACGGACGAGUUUUCAUUUAGAGAUUUGGAUGAUUUUGCUAAGAGUUACGGUUAUGAGAAUACUGAUUUGGUUUAUUAUAAAAAAGGGAUGGAUAUUGAGGAUGGGGUGAAGUUGUUGUAUGAUGAUAGUGCUGUGAGGGAAAUGGUAGCUAUUCACCUACCCUUAGGUAGGAUAGAUUUGUAUGUUGAUCACUACUCUUUUGACAACCCAUUCAAAGAAAUGACAACCAGUGACCUCCUACGAAUUUGUUAUGAAAUCACAAAUUAAUAACGUAUAUACUUACAAACUUCAAGCAAAUACAAAAAAGCUUCAAGAUUAAUAACUUGGGCCUAGCACAAGCGAAGAACCUCUUUCCUGGAUUACUGUAAGUCCAAUAAGUGUUCAUCCUUGCCCUCUUACCACACAUACAAUACUUCUGUUCCGGAUUCAUUGAAGCAGAUGAAGAACCUCCUUCUUGGCUCGUCAUGAUACUUUCAGCUUGGGGAAUAAGAUAUUGAAGUUAGGUUACACAAUGAAUUUGGGGGUUUGAGUUUUGGUACAAGAACCCUAGCAACAACUAUAUAUACUACCGUAAUCUAUCGAUAGAUACACCACAAAAACCACGUAGGACAACACCUAGCCGUUACAAUUCACUGUGUCCAACGGCUACAAGCCACAUCAGCUAUCCGUCAAGUCAAACGAGCUUGACUAACGAGACACUCAUUAUUCUAUACUAAAGUGGUGCAACUUAGACCCCGUUAAAAACAAUCAAGCUUUUGAUACAUAGGCCUCACUUCAAUGACUACUUUGAUAUUUAACCCCUUGUUAAACUCUUUACUUGGGAGGAGGGACAAUCACAUUUAUACCCUCUUUCUUAAAGGGGAAAAAACAUGUAUUCACGUUAAAAUAAUUGUAAAAAUCGGUAAUCAAUUAUCGAUUAAAAAUUUAUCAAAGACCUUUUGGAUGAAUCAGAGAUUUUUGGAUAAAUUGAGAAUUUUUGUCAAAUCAGAAUGUCAUCGGUGAUAAGUUUAUUAUUAAAAAAAUUUAAUAGAUCGGGAAUUUUGUUUUAGAACACUGCUUUAAAGGAAUGUAUUUUCAUAUCUAUAGUUAUAUGAAUACAUCAACAACUUUUAAGUAUUUGAAACAUAUUUUGACAAGAAAUGUGCCAAUGAGUAGCUAAAAUUUUCCCUACCUUAUAAUUUGCUCACUAUCCAUCUUGUUGACCCCCUUUUGAAAUGAAAACCAACUUAUAAAGCAGACCUUAAUACAAAUUUCAGGGUUAAAACCAAGACAGAUAUUACUAAUUAGUAAUUACUAAAGAUGAGAGGAGUAAUCAUGUAAAAUAACUAUGAUCCUGUACACGUCAAAUGUUACAACAGUCAAGAAAAGGAAAGGAGUAGGUUAUACUUUUAAUCGAGCGAAUAAUCUUAUAACCUAAUGUUUCUUUUACCAGGAGUUGCGGUUAAUUCUCCGUAUUCUCCUGCGAAACGGUCGACAUGCCUCAAUGCUGAGGUCAACAGCAGCAGCGAGAGCCAUGAAAAUGGCAGCAUCCUCGACGCAUGUAACAUGUCGCAUGGCUAACUGCACUAAUGGCUUGCUGCUCUUGCCUUCCCCCUGUACUCUGCAGCUCAUGACAAAGCCUCCUAUGGCAGGACUUAGUGCUGCAAAGUCACCACUGCUUUGCGGGCUUGGUAAGGGAGUAGCUGCAGCACGAACCUGUCUGUCUGUGUCGAUGUAAAAUUCCCCACCCUUUUCAGCAUUGAUGAGGAUUUCAGACAUAAGAAGUUCUCCCCCUUCUUGGCCUUCGGAGAGCAGGUGAAAACGGCAGCAAAUGGUGUCUCGGAUACCACGUUCACGCCAUGCUUCAAGCUUACCCCAUGGGAGCCAACUGUCAGGUCUGCAAGCAUCAGGUCGAACAAUCAACCAAGCUCCUGGGUUGGAUCUGGCAACCCAAUCACAACCUGUUGAGGGCACAAAGGGAGUUGUUAUAAAGGCUGCUGCAACAGCAGAUCCAGAGAGAUCAUGUAUCUUCACCUUCCAUCCCUUUCUUUCUCUUUUAUCAGCUUCUUGGUUGGAACCAUCGAGAGAACUUGACCCAUAGGCACUUAAUGGAUCUACCUGAGAUUGCCUAAAAAACACAUUAACAAUAUUACAACCCAACAGGAACUCGCUGAACGUUAAUUUACUGUUCUCUUCAUAGAAGGCUAUCACUAAUACCAUAUUAAAAAUAUAUAGGUAUCAAUGCACAAUACCAGAACAGAAUGGAUACUCUUGAAACCCAAUUAUCGGUUUACUAUAGAAAACUAAAACAAUACACAUACAAGAACAUCCACACUUAGCAUCUUUACCUUGCUUGCAAACAUGCCUAUUAAUAUAAAAAGAAAACUAUAAAUGCUAUAACAUCAAAACCUAGCACAUAUACACAUAAACGUCUUCCUUUUUUGGGGCCGGGGUUCUAGUUAAAUGAGCAACAUUUCUCAAAGGAAAUUUACGUUUGCCAACAUAAAUAUAGUUGAUUCAGAUUAUUAAGCAUUUAUUACAAUAAAGAACACAGCUUAGUUCCUUAAUAUAUUUCAGCUUAAACCGUAUAGUACAGAGUUAUUAUGUAAAUUACCUGUCUCGAGUAAACUUGCAACUGAAAAUUGGCUGUCUGAUAUUGCCUUGAAGCUGAACUAUUUGGGGGCUCAGUUUCGUCUCUUCCUCAAAUUGGAAGACGUAUCUCGGAUCUGGAUCCAAUUUAACUCUCAAAUGAAGCUCUGCU
RNAcentral lists this long non-coding RNA (3117 nucleotides) under Daucus carota (carrot). Its description in RNAcentral is "long non-coding RNA (DCAR_LNC002752)". The record is from RNAcentral. Lineage: Eukaryota; Viridiplantae; Streptophyta; Magnoliopsida; Apiales; Apiaceae.